AUGGCCGGCGGGAGGAAGCGGGAGUGGAUACGUAAGAAGAUGACGGCGGCAGUCGGGAGCGGGUCGCUGCGCAUGCGCGCGCUGCGGCAGCGGAGGAGACGGCUGCCGCGCGUCGACCUCCUCCGGUUCUUGUACGAGAGCAUCGUGUUCCGGCUGCUGUGGGUGCUCGAGUCCAUCGUCGUCCUCGCCAGGCUCUGCUUCUUCUUCCUCCGCUUCGGAUUCCGGCUGUAA
Molecule: ribosomal RNA, 231 nt
Filed under: Triticum aestivum (bread wheat)
Lineage: Eukaryota; Viridiplantae; Streptophyta; Magnoliopsida; Poales; Poaceae
Description: partial small subunit ribosomal RNA
Source: RNAcentral